GUUAGGAAUCUUCCACAAUGGGGGCAACCCUGAUGGAGCAACACCGCGUGCUGGAUGAAGGCCUUCGGGUCGUAAACAGCUUUUGUAUACGAAGAAUAUGACGGUAAUAUACGAAUAAGGGUCGGCUAACUACGUGCCAGCAGCCGCGGUCAUACGUAGGACCCAAGCGUUAUCCGGAGUGACUGGGGGUAAAGAGUUGCGUAGGCGGCUUAUUAAGCGGGUAGUGAAAUCUGGUGGCUCAACCAUCAACACAUUGCUCGAACGGAUAGGCUUGAGAAUGGUAGAGGUAGUUGGAAGUUCUUGUGUAGGAGUUAAAUCCGUAGAUAUAAGAAGGAACACCAAUGGCGUAGGCAGACUACUGGACCAUUUCUGACGCUGGGGCACGAAAGCGUGGGGAGCGAACCGGAUUAGAUACCCUGGUAGUCC
This 426-nucleotide ribosomal RNA is filed under the name uncultured bacterium. RNAcentral describes it as "partial 16S ribosomal RNA". It matches the Rfam family "Bacterial small subunit ribosomal RNA", at positions 354 to 796 of the family's 1533-position model. The record is from RNAcentral.